Molecule: small nuclear RNA, 104 nt
Organism: Plodia interpunctella (Indianmeal moth)
Lineage: Eukaryota; Metazoa; Arthropoda; Insecta; Lepidoptera; Pyralidae
Source: RefSeq, a predicted model, not a curated record
UGUUUUGCAGUAAACAACAUACUACAAUUGGAAUCAUAUAGAUUAGAUGAGCAUAGCCUCUGGGAAAGGAUGACUCGCAAAAUCGUGAAGCGUUCCACAGUAUU